AUAAAACUGCAGCCCCAGCAAACACCUGGAUUGCUACCUUUUGAUACCUUGAGCAGAAUACCCAGUUAGCCAUGCUGGAAAUCAUGACCCAUAUAAACUGUGAAAUAAUAAAUGGUUACUAUUUAGAGUGCCCAAAUUUGUGGUAAUUUGUUAUGAAGCAAAGAAAAAAAUACAAUGAGGAUUUUGUAACAGAGUUUUAACAGAACUGUUCAUAUUCAUAUUAUGAUAUAAAGAUUCCUUUCUCAUAAAAACACCAGGAUCUCCAUAAUUAUAUAUAACAAUAUAAUAUGUAUACAACAAUAUGUAUGGAGUUGUGACAUGAGAUUUAUGAAAAAUAUACACUACAUAAAAACAAGACUUCAUUAAAACAAUUAUCAUGUUUUCAGGCAAUUGUCAUAUAUUACCCAUAUAUGGAUUAGAAAAUUUAAGGAUGGGAAAUCUAGACUUUAAAGAUUCGUAUUCAGAUUUCAGUCAUCCAUUUAUAAGGUUAAUGUCUAUAGACGAAGGAAAUAAAUGGGAGCUCCUCAAUCCUCUGAUAUUCGGAGACAGUGUUCGGUACACAUAAAGCUCCAUAUGCCUAACCCUCAAUCUAAGACUUCUGUUUUCUCCAUCCAGUUAAGAUAAAUUUAUUUUUAUAAUGAUCUAAAAUACAUACCUAAAACUUUGUAUACAAGAAGAUUGGCUAUUUUUAAAAAAUUGAACAGUCCAAGGUAUGAUAUUAGACCCAGUAGAAUUAUUCUUUUGCCAAAGUUAAGUCUAUGACAUGUUAAAAUACUAAGUUUAAUCAGUACAAUCAAGCAAUGUGUAUUAGGAUGGGAAAAUGUCUCUCAUUUUUUAACUGAUAUUAUUUAAAAUAUAUAUAAAUUGUGCAUUUUGUCUUACAAUAAAUAUUUCCUUAUAACCGUAUGUUGAAUUUAUUAUGAAAAAUGAAAUAUUUCAAAAAAAGAAUGCAGUUUUUCAUAUUCUGAAUCCUAUGUAGUUGCCAUAAAUCUAUAACAAUGGGUAAAUAUUAGAUACUGAAUUGUAUUGGUUGAAUACAUCAAUUUAAACAUAAAGCGAAGAAUAUAGGGGAAAAAGCAAAGCAUAAAGAUUAUUGGGCAACUUACUCUCCAGGCUUGCCCUUCCCUAACACCUUUGUGAAAGCUCUGGCCACUUCCUUGUUGCGAAGGCUGUAGAUGAGGGGAUUCAGCAUGGGUGUAAGAAUGGUGUAGAAAGCUGAUACCAUCUUGUCCUGGGUCGGGGAACGAUCUGAAGUGGGUCGCAUGUAUAUGAACAUGGCUGCUCCAUAGUACAUUCCCACCACCAUGAGGUGGGAGGAACAGGUAGUGAAAGCUUUGCGGCGACCAUCUCCAGUUCCCAUGCGAAUGACAGCACGAAUAACAUGAACAUAAGAAGCAAUGAUGACUGCUACAGGGAAGAGAAGCAUAAUAACACAGCAGAUAAAUAUCAUCCUUUGAAACAGUAAUGUGUUAGUGCAUGAGAGAGUGAGCAGGGCAGGGACAUCACAGAAAAAAUGAGGAAUUUCCCGGGCACCACAAUAUGAGAAGGAUAAUACAACUGCCACUUCAAUUAUACCAUCAAGGGAGCCAAGAAUCCAGGAAGAGGCUGCCAUGAGACCACAGAUUUUCUGGCUCAUGAGAACUGAGUAUCGCAAUGGGUAGCAGAUGGCAACAUAACGGUCAUAGGCCAUUGCAGCCAACAGGAAACAUUCAGCUCCAAGCAGGGACACAGAGAAAAACAUCUGGGUUCCACAACUGGCCAGAGAGAUGUACUUCUUGCCAGACAAGUAGCUGAAAGCCAUCUUGGGUACAGUGGUGCAGAUGAGCAUGAGGUCCAUGAGGGACAGUUGGCUGAGGAGGAAGUACAUGGGAGUGUGGAGCUGAGUGUCCAGGUAGAUGAGGAGAACCAUGGCAGUGUUUCCCAUGAAGGCCACUGUGAAGAUGACCAAGACCAGAGAGAAGAGAAAGGUGCAGCUGGGUCUGUGACUGAAAAUUCCCAGCAGAAUGAACUCAGAGUUGAAAGUCUGAUUCCCCCAUGCCACGAUAAAUAUAUUCACUGUGGAAAAUACAACAUGUGAGAAAUGGCUGGGAUUGUGUUAUGGAAAUAUCAGGGACUUCCAGCCUAGAUCACCACUCUUUAUGAUAUUGUCUACACAUAAAAAGUUAUUUCUCUUGGGGCUGGUCUCAUGAUGCAGCAGUUAAUUUCGCACGUCCUGCUUUGGCGGCCCAGGGUUCGCUGGUUCAGAUCCCGGGUCUGGACGUGGUACCACUUGGCAAGCCUUGCUGCGGUAGGUGUCCCACAUGUAAAGUAGAGGAAGAUGGACAUGGAUGUUAGCUCAGGGCCAGCCUUCUUCAGCAAAAAGAGGAGGACUGGCAGCAGAUGUUAACUCAGGGUUAAACUUCCUCAAAAAAAAAAAGUUCUUUCUCUGAAUGUCAUUUUUUUUAAAUUGUAGACUAAGAAUAUUAAACCUUAUUUUUAGCUUGAUGUGACUUUAAAUCUAAAACAUGAACCUAACAGUCAUAAGAAAGUUCCAAAAAUGCAUAUAGUCUAAUUUUAGCAACCAGUCAGCUCAAAUAUGUACCAUGGAUAAUCCCUUCAGAAAUACGCUGAGUCAUCAGAAGACUCAUGAAUUCCUUGGAAAUCAAUGGCAUUUUCCACGGAACUUAGCAUAUCACACUAUGAUUCUAAUAAAAAUUCUGUCUACCAAGGUGCAGAGGGAAGCAUGUUUUAGUGAAAGUGGGAUAAGAUUAGUCAAAUGCCAGAUAAACAAAAGACAUUGAGAACUCAUCAAUCAGAAGUUCAUUAAAUACUACAUAUUGCUAAUAAUGGUGAGGUGUGGUGGAAGUAGUUCCUCACCAAUACGUCCAUCCUUUAUUCUUUCUCUUAAGACGAGGUGAAUCCAUGAGACAUUCUUGAAUUGGCCGUUUUACUGGAGAAGCAAACUAGAAGAGAGUGCAAGAACAUAGCUCAAACAUCUGGAAUAGGGCAUUUUGGCUGUGUAACUUUAGACAAUUAAUUUCUCCAAGCCUUAUUUUUAUAGUGUGUAAUUUUUGGUAUUUAUUAAUGUUUAUAUUGCAGCAUGUUAAGACUAAAUGAGAUCACACUUAUAAUAUGUGAACAUUACCUGAAAUACACUGUGUACCAUAGAAAUAUUUUUAAAUAAAUACUAUUGGAGGGAUUUAUUUUAUAUUAUUCUAAUUUAUAUAAAAUUAAUCUCUUCCACUCCCUUAGCAAGACUCUUCUACACAGUAGCAUAUUUUUAAUUUUCUAUUUUUUCACCUAUUUCUCUUUUUUUCUCUUGUCACUCUCUUCAUUGAUCAAGGCAUUGGCUUCCUUUGUAUCCCUUUGCAUGAGCUUUUCCUCUUCUGGGAGCAAUUCAGAGAAGUGUGCCUGAUAUUUUGGUUUUAACUUUUGGGAAAUAAAAAUUUCCUUGUGGUUCUGCCAAAUGGAUGAAAAUUGUGCAUUUUAGUUUACGAAAACUCUGAUUUAAAGCAUGACGUUAUAAUGCAAUUUCUUACCUGUUUUUUACCACUAUCUAGCAAGAGCAAGCAUAUUAGCCUAAUACCAUUUAAAAUGCCCCAUUAUAAUAGAUUUAAAGCCAAUGAAAGUGUAAUGAACAUGUUAUCAUGCAACCAAGUUAUAUCAAUAAUCAAGUAAUUAUCAAGUAUAAUUUGGCAAUAUUAUACUGUUGUCUCCUGACAUUUGUAUAUAGUUCUUAUGGUAGUGAAACAUAUAUAUUGAAAAGAGUGUUGAGUGAAUUCAUCUUCAACGUACCAUGGAUAAAAUUUUAUAAAUGGCUAAACCUAUGCAACUAUCACACAGAUAAAUACAUGGACCAUUUCCAAAGGAUUUCGUCAUAUCCUUUCACAGUCCAUCCUGCCCUAGACAUAACCUAUAUUUUAAUAUCUAUCUCAAAGGCUUAUGUUUUGCCUGUUCUUGAUUUCAUGUACAUCCUGGAGUUCGUUCUAUUUUAUGUGCACAGAAAUGGAACCCAUUAUACUCCUGACCUCUGCACCUACCAACUCAUUGGCUCAGCUCCCCUCCAGCCAUACUAGCCUCUUCAUCUCUGGAACACAUUUGAAUGCUCUAAUCCAGGGUGUUUGCACUGGCUGUUCCCUCUGACCACCCUCUGUGCCUUAGACCAAGUCCCUCACUGCUUUCAGGCUCUUAUUCAAAUGCUUUCCACUUCAUAGAGCUUCAUGGCCUCUCUCUACAUAAGCUACCUACCUUACCUUUUUUUCUACUUGGUAUUUCUCUCAUCUAAGACUAUACUAGUUUUUCUGCUUUUUGUCCGACUCUCCUCAUUAGGAUGUAAAUUCCAUCAAGACAGAGAUUUAGUGAGUCACAUUCAUUAGAUACUUGGUGAAUCAAGACAUUUGUUAAAGGAAAUGCUGGUGUUUUUUCUUUUGUGGUUCAGAUAUUGUCCUUUCUUCUCUAACCCUCUCCUGAAAAGAGGGUGGUUGCUUUAGGACUUCACACAACUCAGUGUG
This 4490-nucleotide long non-coding RNA is filed under the name Equus caballus (horse). Its description in RNAcentral is "lncRNA (ENSECAG00000052036.1)". Lineage: Eukaryota; Metazoa; Chordata; Mammalia; Perissodactyla; Equidae. The record is from RNAcentral.